Long non-coding RNA from Carassius gibelio (silver crucian carp), 2429 nucleotides. RefSeq lists it as uncharacterized. NCBI's taxonomy places the organism in Eukaryota, Metazoa, Chordata, Actinopteri, Cypriniformes, Cyprinidae. The record is from RefSeq and is a predicted model, not a curated record. The transcript has 2 exons.
AACUACUGUAGUGAUCGGUCCAACCUUCAUUAUUCUCUCUUUCAGCUCUUUCAACCUGUUCUGCAUCAUUUGGAUCAGUUCAAGGUUUUUUGCAGUCGAAUGAGAAAGCUUAAUUUACCACAUUUGGGAAAACAUCAGGGGGCUGCUCAAUUCUCUUUGCCACCAGUUGCUGAAUAACAUUGUAGCCAAUGACUGGAGGCUGCCCCAUGCCUUGCUCAUUUGAGACAAGCACUGGUACCAGAAGUUCGAUCUGAGCACCUCUUUUUGGCCCUAGUUGGAGUUUCAAUUCCACCCUUCCAGGGCAUGGGAUAUAUGUUGGGUUGCUGCUUGGCCAGUGAGGGUUUCAGCUUCAUCCAACAGGACAUGUUGUCAUGCUGUUAGCUGCAUGUUGCUAGGUGGGUGUGGUGGAAAAAUUCAUUUAACAUUGCUUCUGUAUACCUAUAUAAGCAUGUGUUUUCUUUUCUUUACUGUGUGGGUUCAGAAGGGUGACACCUGGGGGGGAAAACAGAUGUCUGAAAAUGACCUGAGGGGGUCAUUGGGCCAUAUAGUGGGGGGACGAUGUCUGAGGAUGACCUGAGGGGGUCACCUAAGUCCUAAAUGUGUUUGAAACAGCCCAUAGAGAGUGUUCCUUGUUAUGUGUGGAAAUUUACAGCUGCUGAAACUGUGUAACCUUGGAAGAGCAGAGGUAUAUAAGGUGGAGGACUGCCCUCUUCCUGGGUCGGUUUCACUCUGCAGAAACUCAGUGUUGCUGUCUGACCUUCUUUGCAAAGAAUAAAAGCUUUCUUUUUUAAUUAUACCUGAGAAUGAGUCUGUGUCUUAUGCUGAUGAGAGUUUAUUUAAAUUUUGCCACGACAAUUUGGUGUCAGAAAGUGGGAUUCCUUGGAUGUGUCUUCUAGACCUGUGAGCGGACGGUGACUGAUCAUCCUGAACAAUAGAAGUUCAGCCCUAACCCCGAUUAGAUUUGAGGGAGAAAGGGACCGACCGCCGAGGGCCAGAGGAGACACCACUGGAAUCAGGAAAGAACCGGAGUGGCAACAGAGCUCUCGGUCUGUGUUCAGGUGAAAGCUCCUCAGGAGAAGGUUGCUGAAACACCGUUGCACGACCUGAAACCAGGGGAUUCGUGAUGAUACGAGCAGAGAGAGCAACGUGGAUCCAGGCUAACCACUGCAGAAAGGUCCCACCUGCAUCUGAGGAAGAGGAGCGGAGGGAGUAAGGAUCUGGAGACACACAUGUCAACAAAGGCCAGGAAUCCAGCCUAAACAUCAAGCGUCCUUAUCAGCGGGAAGAGCAAGGUUAAGACUGAAAAACAGCAUUGAAGUAGUCUGCGCGCAAGUGAAAAGAUAACUAUGAUCAUCAUAGUUGGGUACAUCAUGUUGUUUUCAUAUUCCAGACUACAGUGACAACGUUACCAAUAUCAUCACCCACAUGAGAAAGGCCGUAAAAGAGCCUGACCAUACACAUAAUGCUGCUAAAUGAUUUUUGCUGCUAUUAUGUCUACCAUGUUUUUCUUUUUUUUAGUUGAUAUCCAGCUCAGUACAGAGACUGGUGAAGUUUAGUGUUUCACAUCAAAUGGUUCAAUUGACUGUGUACAAUGAAGACGUUAUCAUGGAUUUGAGUAGGGAGAAAACUACUGAUGAAGGGACAAACAGUAGCGGAAGCUACAGUGAAAUGUGUUAAAUGUAUGAGAUUUAUGAUAUUUUUUUUCUUUGAAGAAAGAAAUGUUCAGGCCUAUCUGAAUGUAUGCUGUUUGCUUGCUUGAAAAAGGGUCUGUCCCCUUAUAAAAAGCCUUAGUAUAUUUUCUAAAUUCUUGUGAGUGAUCAUUUAUGCGAAGAUCAGGGAUGAAGAGUAUAAAUGUGAUGAAAUGCCUUAAGUUUGCUUUAUUUUGAAUCAUGUAUGUAUUUCUGAGUGUGAAAUUUUUGAUUUUGGAUUGUGUUUGUAUCUGCGACGUGACUGAGGGUCUGACUCGUGUCAGGAAUGCAGUAGCAGUGACUUACUCGUUUAGCCCGGUGAGUGUGUAGUGGAAAUAUAACCAGUAGAAAUGAAUAUUUAUGUUUUAUUGAUCAAUGAAUGAUAAAAACGGGGAAAUUGUGGUGGAAAAAUUCAUUUAACAUUGCUUCUGUAUGCCUAUAUAAGCAUGUGUUUUCUUUUCUUUACUGUGUGGGUUCAGAAGGGUGACACCUGGGGGGAAAACAGAUGUCUGAGGAUGACCUGAGGGGGUCACCUAAGUCCUAAAUGUGUUUGAAACAGCCCAUAGAGAGUGUUCCUAGUUUUGUGUGGAAAUUUACAGCUGCUGAAACUGUGUAACCUUGGAAGAGCAGAGGUAUAUAAGGUGGAGGACUGCCCUCUUCCUGGGUCGGUUUCACUCUGCAGGAACUCAGUGUUGCUGUCUGACCUUCUUUGCAAAGAAUAAAAGCUUUCUUUUUUAAUUA